This 304-nucleotide ribosomal RNA is filed under the name uncultured bacterium. RNAcentral's name for it is "partial 16S ribosomal RNA". It matches the Rfam family "Bacterial small subunit ribosomal RNA", at positions 506 to 807 of the family's 1533-position model. The record is from RNAcentral.
CAGCAGCAGCCGCGGGAAUACGUAGGGUGCGAGCGUUAAUCGGAAUUACUGGGUGUAAAGCGUGCGCAGGCGGUUGUGUAAGACAGGUGUGAAAUCCCCGGGCUUAACCUGGGAACUGCGCUUGUGACUGCACAGCUAGAGUAUGGCAGAGGGGGGUGGAAUUCCACGUGUAGCAGUGAAAUGCGUAGAGAUGUGGAGGAACACCGAUGGCGAAGGCAGCCCCCUGGGCCAAUACUGACGCUCAUGCACGAAAGCGUGGGGAGCAAACAGGAUUAGAUACCCGCGUAGUCCCUGUCUCUUAUAC